Molecule: long non-coding RNA, 1403 nt
Filed under: Homo sapiens (human)
Lineage: Eukaryota; Metazoa; Chordata; Mammalia; Primates; Hominidae
Description: long intergenic non-protein coding RNA 2645
Source: RNAcentral
ACGAGGAAGGAUGGCGAGGGAGGAAACCGCGCUUUGUUGUUGAGGUGAGCCGGGUGCGCGACCACGAGGAAGGAUGGCGAGGGAGGAAACCGCGCUUUGUUGGUGAGGUGAACCGCGUGCACGAUCCCGAGGAAGUAUUGCCAGGGAGGAAACCGCGCUUUGUUCUUGAGGUGAGCCGGGUGCGCGACCAUGAGGAAGGAUGGCGAGGGAGGAAACCGCGCUUUGUUGGUGAGGUGAAACGGGUGCACGAUCCCGAGGAAGUAUUGCCAGGGAGGAAACCGCGCUUUGCUGGUGAGGUGUUCACGGAUAAUGAAGCUGAUGUGAGAGCCCUGGAGAGAAACAUCAGUCAAAGGCAUGCAGGUUGUGAAUACAAACCUCACUUGUUUCCAGACAGAUUCUUCAUCAUAAUGAUUAGGACAAUGACAGUACAAACAUUCUCAUCCUACAAAAAUAAGUAAUCACAACCACACCUUAUCCAAUAUCUGUACAGCAAUUGUGCCAUACACAUUAAAUUCAGAUUUUUAUAAUGUAAUUUAAUCUGUAUUUCAAGCCACAAUCUUGCUGAAGUUCAUAAUGUUUUGUUCCAACCAUUCUUGUAAUCCCCUCUGGUGACAUGCCAUGGUGCCAGCAUCUUAGUUGUUCCCAUGGCACUAGUAGGUGGAGGCAUCGAGACUGCUGUGUCCUCUCUUCUUGCAGGGAAUCCCAUCCAGCGUCCCUCUACUCUCCUCUGCAGCUUCCAUGGUUGGAAUGCUGAGCCAUUGCUAGGACGAUGAGGCUACAGGAAAGUGAAAUGCACCUGCUGCGAUCUGAUCCAACUGACCACUCCUGCUGCUCCUCCCUUGCACCUCAGGCAUCUCCUUCCAAUCUGGAGGAAACACUUUUACCUCCACUUUUCUUUUACAGUCCUCCAAACUCUGUUCCUUCUAGGGAGCACAAGUACAGAAAUAGAAACCUGGACUCCCAUCAUCCUGCUUCACAAACUUACAAUGUUAAAGAAAGAAAAAAAAAAAGACCAAGUACAUUACCUGGUAGAAUUGGAGAGAUGGGCACGAAAGAGCUGUAAAUACAGUUAGAAAACACACUAGCAUUUACAAAUGUGUAUGAGAAACAAUGAGGAGGAUUUUCAGAGACUAUCAUAACCAUUUAUUUUUCUAAUAUGUGAUAAGUAAACGCACAGAAAAUCAAUUUAAUAUUUGGGGCUUUUAUUUCUCAUUUUUUAGAUUGCCAGAAAGACUGUCCAGUGUUAUAAAGUUUGUGUCAAUAUUCUGGAAUUGGCAAUUUUGUCAUUUAUAUGGGAGAAAUAGCUAAAGGUGUAGUAUAAAGUAUUUGCUCGUAGGUAAUGGAAUGUUACCUUUACCCAAAGAUAUAAAAAAUAAACGGUAGAACAAAAACUCAGAGUGAAA